CGUGAGCAAUCUGCCCAUAUCUGGGGGAUAACAGUUGGAAACGACUGAUAAUACCGCAUAAUAUUAUUUGAAGGCAUCUUCUUAUAAUCAAAGAUUUAUCGGAUAUGGAUGAGCUCGCGUCUGAUUAGCUUGUUGGUGAGGUAACGGCUCACCAAGGCGACGAUCAGUAGCCGACCUGAGAGGGUGAUCGGCCACAUUGGAACUGAGACACGGUCCAAACUCCUACGGAAGGCAGCAG
This 238-nucleotide ribosomal RNA is filed under the name uncultured bacterium. Its description in RNAcentral is "partial 16S ribosomal RNA". It matches the Rfam family "Bacterial small subunit ribosomal RNA", at positions 116 to 354 of the family's 1533-position model. The record is from RNAcentral.